Molecule: ribosomal RNA, 397 nt
Filed under: uncultured bacterium
Lineage: Bacteria
Description: bacterial SSU rRNA
Rfam family: Bacterial small subunit ribosomal RNA
Source: RNAcentral
GACGAACGCUGGCGGCGUGCUUAACACAUGCAAGUCGAGCGGUAAGGCCCUUUCGGGGGUACGACGAGCGGCGAACGGGUGAGUAACACGUGGGUGACCUGCCCUCAGCUCUGGGAUAAGCCUGGGAAACCGGGUCUAAUACUGGAUAUGACUCCAUGACGCAUGUUGUGGGGUGGAAAGCCUUGUGCGGCUGAGGAUGGGCCCGCGGCCUAUCAGCUUGUUGGUGGGGUGANGGCCUACCAAGGCGACGACGGGUAGCCGGCCUGAGAGGGCGACCGGCCACACUGGGACUGAGACACGGCCCAGACUCCUACGGGAGGCAGCAGUGGGGAAUCUUGCGCAAUGGGCGAAAGCCUGACGCAGCGACGCCGCGUGAGGGAUGACGGCCUGUGUAACU